Homo sapiens (human) is the source of this 2133-nucleotide long non-coding RNA. Ensembl lists it as uncharacterized. Its record names the gene CTB-1I21.1. Lineage: Eukaryota; Metazoa; Chordata; Mammalia; Primates; Hominidae. The record is from Ensembl.
AGAGAGAGAUUGGCUGACCCACAGCUACUGCCCUGAGACUGAGUAGUGUAGUGGGGAGGCCAAUAGAGGGAGAUAAAUGAAGUGCCAUCUAAUUAAGAAACAGGGCAAUGGCUCAUCCUAGGGCUGAGAAGGAAAGAGAGGCUGCUUCUACCAGGUUCUCCAUCCUGCAACACAAGGCUUUGGUAUCAGGAUGCUGCUGGCCUCAUCAAAUGAGUUAGGGAGGAUUCCCUCUUUUUCUAUUGAUUGGAAUAGUUUCAGAAGGAAUGGUACCUGCUCCUCUUUAUACCUCUGGUAGAAUUCGGCUGUGAAUCCGUCUGGUCCUGGACUUUUUUUGGACAGCAGUUGGUUGACAUUUAAAGGGCUACUGUCCCAGAAGGCUGCUUGCCUGGGCCCAUGGCACUGCCAGAAAUCACAAGACUAAGCUGAAAAAGCACAAAGAAGUUUCCUUUCAUUCCAGGAACCUCUUGGCUUGAAUAUGAAAUAGCCUCUUAGUGACACUACACUGCAAUUUCAAAUAAUAGGUUUUUUAUCACCUCUUUGAGAAAUAUCACCUUGGGUUCAUCCCAGAAAAAUAAUACAAAGUAGAAUUUUUUCAAACGUAAUCCCCUUGGGUUCCUCUCAGAAAAAAAUAGAAAGUAGAAUUCUUUCAAACUUAAUCCCCUCUUUGUAUUUGUCUCCUCUGCAUCUCUCCAAAGUAGAUGGGUAGGAGAGGGAAACAGUGCUGUAGAAAAUGGGACAAGAACACACCCUAAUAAAACAAGAAAACAUGGUUUGCCAGAGGUCUCCUUUCCCAGGCUCAAGCCUCAAGUUUCUAAUUGUCCCUACAUUACUCCCACAAAUGCCUUUCUGGGAGAGUCUUGUAUGCUAGACCUCUGCCAUCUUCCCAUCCUUUCUCCCUUCCUCCUAACCUUCACUCUUGAGAAAGACUCAUCCUGGCUUCUGUGUCCAUAGAACCUUGAAGCAGCUUUCUGGUGAGGAGGUGAGCUACUUCCUGCAAAACUACUAGUAGCUGCUAUUGAUUAAUGUAUUCUUCCAACCAGGUAAUGUAUUCCUGUUCCAACAGAAGUCUUCUUGAGACAUAUCUGAAAGUGACAUAGUAACCAGAAGGAAGAUUUUUGGAGGGUUCUUGAACUAGCUCUACAUAGGAAACUGCCAACAAUAACUUCCUGUGGCAUUUGUUAAGUUGUGAUUCUGCCCCUCACUGCUUGACUUAGUCCUCUUGACAAGGGCCAGGAGGAGAAAACAGGUCUCAAAGAACAGUGUACAUCAAAGCCUGGCUUUCCAGCAAUGCCUGACCCUGCCAAAGAAGGCAGGGAAGCCCCCACAGAGCCUCUUAGAAACCUCAACUCCCUCAGCCUCUUGUCCCAGAGCAUCACUGGCAGGUAUAGACCAAGCAUAUCCACAUCCACACGUACGUCUUUUUUGCUUUUAUUCAUUUUAGUUUAUAACAACUAUUUAUUUAGGACGUGGUUCUGUGAGCUGUUAAAUUGUUCUAUUGUCAGAUCAUAGCUGUAUACAUUUGUGGGGUGUCAAAACGAUGUUUUAACAUAUACAUACAAUCAGUGUGAUUAAAUCAAGCUAAUUAACACAUCCAUCACCUUGCUUACCUAUCUUUUUUAUGGUGAGACAUUUGAAAUUUACUCUCUUAGUUGUUUUGAAAUAUACAAUGCAGUAUUAUUGACUAUAGUCACCCUGGUAUACAAUAUAUCUCAAAAUCUAUCCCUACUGUCUCUCUGAAACUUUGUACCCUUUGAUUAACAACUCCCAUUCCCCUUUCAAUCUGAAACAUUGUACCCUUUCAUCAGCAACUCCUCAUUCCCUCCCUCCCAGCCCACUCUUAGCCUCUUUCUACUCUCUAUUUCUAUGAGUUCAACUUUGUUAGAUUUUUACAUGUAAGUGAGAUCAUGCAGCAUUUGUCUUUCUGUGCCUGGUUUAUUUUACUUAGCAUAAUGUCCUUCAGAUUCAUCCGUGUUGAUGCAAGUGACAGGAUUUCUCCCUUUUUAAGGCUGAAUAAUUUUCUAUUGUGUAUGUUUCACAUUUCCUUUAUACACUCAUCCAUUGAUGGAUACCUAAGUUGUUUCAUGUUUUAGCUAUUGUGAAUAAUGCUGCAAUAAACAUGCAGAGUACAGAUAU